GCCUCAUACAUGCAAGUCGAACGAAGUCUUCUGACUUAGUGGCGCACGGGUGAGUAACAUGUGGGAAUCUACCUAAAGGUUCGGAAUAACUGCGGGAAACUGUAGCUAAUACCGGAUGUGUCUGCAGAGAGAAAGAUUUAUCGCCUUUAGAUGAGCCCGCACUAGAUUAGCUAGUUGGUGAGGUAAUUGCUCCACCAAGGCUACGAUCUAUAGCUGAUUUGAGAGGAUGAUCAGCCACACUGGGACUGAGACACGGCCCAGACUCCUACGGGAGGCAGCAGUAGGGAAUAUUGGACAAUGGGGGAAACCCUGAUCCAGCAAUGCCGCGUGAGUGAAGAAGGCCCUCGGGUUGUAAAACUCUUUCAUCAAUGAUGAUAAUGACAUUAGUUGAAGAAGAAGCUCCGGCUAACUUCGUGCCAGCAGCCGCGGUAAUACGAAGGGGGCUAGCGUUGUUCGGAAUCACUGGGCGUAAAGCGUAUGUAGGCGGAUCAAAAAGUUAGAUGUGAAAUCCCUGGGCUCAACCCAGGAACUGCAUUUAAAACUAAUGAUCUAGAAUUUGGUAAGGGUUAGUAGAAUUUCCAGUGUAGAGGUGAAAUUCGUAGAUAUUGGAAAGAAUACCAGAAGCGAAGGCGACUAACUAGGCCAUUUUUGACGCUGAGAUACGAAAGCGUGGGUAGCAAACAGGAUUAGAUACCCUGGUAGUCCACGCAGUAAACGAUGAGUGCUAGUCGCUGGGACAUUAGUUUCAGUGUCGAAGCUAACGCAUUAAGCACUCCGCCU
This 780-nucleotide ribosomal RNA is filed under the name uncultured Alphaproteobacteria bacterium. RNAcentral describes it as "bacterial SSU rRNA". It matches the Rfam family "Bacterial small subunit ribosomal RNA", at positions 46 to 874 of the family's 1533-position model. Lineage: Bacteria; Pseudomonadati; Pseudomonadota; Alphaproteobacteria. The record is from RNAcentral.